This 253-nucleotide unclassified non-coding RNA is filed under the name uncultured Caryophanales bacterium. RNAcentral describes it as "uncultured Bacillales bacterium contains 16S-23S intergenic spacer region". It matches the Rfam family "Bacterial small subunit ribosomal RNA", at positions 524 to 776 of the family's 1533-position model. The record is from RNAcentral. Lineage: Bacteria; Bacillati; Bacillota; Bacilli; Caryophanales.
UACGUAGGUGGCAAGCGUUGUCCGGAAUCAUUGGGCGUAAAGCGCGCGCAGCCGGCCUCUUAAGUCUGAUGCGAAAGCCCCCGGCUCAACCGGGGAGGGCCAUUGGAAACUGGGAGGCUUGAGUAUAGGAGAGAAGAGUGGAAUUCGACGUGUAGCGGUGAAAUGCGUAGAGAUGUGGAGGAACACGAGUGGCGAGGGCGACUCUUUGGCCUAUAACUGACGCUGAGGCGCCAAAUCGUGGGGAGCAAACAGG